This 25-nucleotide non-coding RNA is filed under the name Drosophila melanogaster (fruit fly). The record is from RNAcentral. Lineage: Eukaryota; Metazoa; Arthropoda; Insecta; Diptera; Drosophilidae.
AGCUCUAGAUCAUUCGGAAGACGCA